This 253-nucleotide ribosomal RNA is filed under the name uncultured bacterium. RNAcentral's name for it is "partial 16S ribosomal RNA". It matches the Rfam family "Bacterial small subunit ribosomal RNA", at positions 524 to 776 of the family's 1533-position model. The record is from RNAcentral.
UACGGAGGGUGCAAGCGUUAUCCGGAUUUACGGGGCUUAAAGGGUGCGUAGGUGGGCAAGUAAGUCAGUGGUGAAAUCUCCGGGCUUAACCCGGAAACUGCCAUCGAUACUAUUUGUCUUGAAUACUGUGGAGGUCAGCGGAAUAUGUCAUGUAGCGGUGAAAUGCUUAGAUAUGACAUAGAACACCAGUUGCGAAGGCAGCUGGCUACACAGAUAUUGACACUGAGGCACGAAAGCGUGGGGAUCAAACAGG